Molecule: long non-coding RNA, 1516 nt
Filed under: Vulpes vulpes (red fox)
Lineage: Eukaryota; Metazoa; Chordata; Mammalia; Carnivora; Canidae
Description: lncRNA (ENSVVUG00000003345.1)
Source: RNAcentral
CCGCCGCCUGCUCCUGCCUCCAUCGCAUAGGCCACCUCCAGUUUGCCACGUAAAAGUUUCGGGGAGGGAAGACCUGCCACCUCUGGGUCACGCGGUCCCCUGCACGGCCGGCCUCCUUGCGCCCCGGGACGGCAGAAACCGACCCAGGGCACAGGGUCCUGUGAGGGCUGCCGCCGGGUCCCCUGCUCCGCUGCUGCCCGUCUGGCCCUGCGGGGACUCUGCUCGUUGGGCUGCGGGCGGUGGGGCUCCAGGGCGUCCAUACCCGAGAGGGCCGGGGGCAUCGGGGGCGUCCACACCCAGGGGUCUGGGGCGUCCAGGGCGUCCACACCCGGGGAGCCGGGGGCUCCAGGGCAUCCAGGGCGUCCCCACUCAGGGGAUCCAGGGCAUCUAGGGUGUUGGGGGCGUCCACACGCGGGGGUCCGGGGCGUCCAGGGCGUCCCCACUCAGGGGGAUCCAGGACGUCUAGGGUGUCGGAGGCAUCCACAUGCAGGGGUCCAGUGUGUCCAGGGCAUCCACACGCGGGGGCUCCAAGGGCUCCGGGAGCUCCGGGGCAUCCCCACACGGCAGCACCGUGGGUACCGGGGCAGUGAGUGCGGGCACAGCACCCCCCUGGGCCCGGUCCCCUUGGCACCUGCUGGCCCGCAGGUCCCCGUGCAAUGGCCUCAGCGGUGGAGCUCGGGGGGGGGCUUNAGCACCGUGGGUACCGGGGCAGUGAGUGCGGCCGCAGCACCCCCCUGGGCCCGGUCCCCUUGGCACCUGCUGGCCCGCAGGUCCCCGUGCAAUGGCCUCAGCGGUGGAGCUCGGCCGGGGGGGCUUCCCGCUGACACCCACUGUCCCUUGGCCGCGUCCCCUUCCCUCUCAGGCCGUACUUCCCUCCUGGCUCCCCUUCCUGUCCCGUGUUCCAGCAGCGCCCUGUGCGCCAGGGGGACAGCUCAGCAGUUGCCGCAUGGACACUGUGCGGUGUUUAUACCCGUCGCCUUUUUAUUAUUUUUUAAAGAUUUUAUUUAUUUAUUCACGAGACACAGAGAGAGGCAGAGAUACAGGCAGAGGGAGAAGCAGGGAGCCCGAUGCGGACUCGGUCCCAGGACCCCGGGGUCACGCCCUGAGCCGAAGGCCAGCGCUCAGUCACUGAACCCCCACUUCCGCCCCCGGCGCCCUGUCCUUUUCUCUCUUGAUGGCCUUGCCUCCUUCACUGCUGUGCCUCGGUGCUACUCCCACUGCCAGCUUUAAUGACGCGCCGCCCUGGGAAUGGCCAGGAGGCGGCUUCUGCACCUCCCCAUCAAACGAAUGCCAAAGAUGUCCCUUUUGUCCUGUGGCAUCCCCUAUCCAAGAUCUGUGUCAUAAAUUUUAAGAAUUUAGUUCUUGGGGGAAAAAAAGUUUAUCAAAACUGCUUGCAUUCUUUCAUCAGACUAUUAGAAUUGUUCAGUUGAUUUAGCUUCCCUUUUUGCCUUGGCUGCCAGUCAGCCCAGGGAUGAAUCUGUCGCUCAGUUAUGGUCACCAUAUUAGAAUCCUGUUC